Molecule: ribosomal RNA, 492 nt
Filed under: uncultured bacterium
Lineage: Bacteria
Description: partial 16S ribosomal RNA
Rfam family: Bacterial small subunit ribosomal RNA
Source: RNAcentral
AGUGAACGCUGGCGGUAGGCCUAACACAUGCAAGUCGAACGGCAACACAGUAAGAGCUUGCUCUUACGGGUGGCGAGUGGCGGACGGGUGAGGAAUACAUCGGAAUCUACUUUUUCGUGGGGGAUAACGUAGGGAAACUUACGCUAAUACCGCAUACGACCUACGGGUGAAAGCAGGGGAUCUUCGGACCUUGCGCGAUUGAAUGAGCCGAUGUCGGAUUAGCUAGUUGGCGGGGUAAAGGCCCACCAAGGCGACGAUCCGUAGCUGGUCUGAGAGGAUGAUCAGCCACACUGGAACUGAGACACGGUCCAGACUCCUACGGGAGGCAGCAGUGGGGAAUAUUGGACAAUGGGCGCAAGCCUGAUCCAGCCACACCGCGUGGGUGAAGAAGGCCUUCGGGUUGUAAAGCCCUUUUGUUGGGAAAGAAAAGCAGCAGGUUAAUACCCCGCUGUUCUGACGGUACCCAAAGAAUAAGCACCGGCUAACUUCGUG